GUGAUGUUCCAGUUUUUUUGGGAAGAGUAGAUACUAUAAAAGGUUAAAUGCCAUUUUUUCACCCCGUACCUGCCCGAACCUCUGAGCUCCUCAAACCCUUACCUCCAUCACUAAGCCAAGCUCUGAUACCAGUAAGAAAGUCCCUAUCUUGCAACCUGCUAAAGAGUGCCCUCUUGUGUUGCAUGCACAUGAAAUAACCUUUUUUUUUUCUUUUUUCAUGAAGUGUUCUGCUUACACUGAACCUUAGGUUUUCUUUGGCAUUGCAGCCAAGAAAGAUAAAAGAUAAAUGAUGCUUUAGAACAAUUUUCUGGCUUUUAAUGCCAGCUAAGUAAAACUAUACCCCUAUAUUAAAGAG
Molecule: long non-coding RNA, 355 nt
Filed under: Homo sapiens (human)
Lineage: Eukaryota; Metazoa; Chordata; Mammalia; Primates; Hominidae
Description: non-protein coding lnc-DHX38-11:1
Source: RNAcentral